UAAGACAGAGGCCCCGAGCGUUAAUCGGAAUUACUGGGCUUAAAGGGUGCGUAGGUGGACCAGCAAGUGCUUUGUGAAAGCCCCCGGCUCAACCGGGGAACAGCGGGGCAUACUGCUGGUCUUGAGGAAGGUAGGGGCCGCGAGAACUGUAGGUGGAGCGGUGAAAUGCGUAGAUAUCUACAGGAAUGCCGAUGGUGAAGACGCGCGGCUGGGCCUUUCCUGACACUGAGGCACGAAAGCGUGGGGAGCAAACAGGAUUAGAUACCCUGGUAGUCCACGCCGUAAACCAUGCACGCUAGAUCGGGGUGGCUCUGACGCCGGCUCGGUCGAAGCAAAAGCGAUAAGCGUGCCGCCUGGGGAGUACGGUCGCAAGGCUA
RNAcentral lists this ribosomal RNA (377 nucleotides) under uncultured bacterium. RNAcentral's name for it is "bacterial SSU rRNA". It matches the Rfam family "Bacterial small subunit ribosomal RNA", at positions 521 to 896 of the family's 1533-position model. The record is from RNAcentral.